AUUGAACGCUGGCGGAAUGCUUUACACAUGCAAGUCGAACGGCAGCACGGGGGCGACCCUGGUGGCGAGUGGCGAACGGGUGAGUAACACAUCGGAACGUACCUCAUUGUGGGGGAUAGCCCGGCGAAAGCCGGAUUAAUACCGCAUAAGACCUGAGGGAGAAAGCGGGGACCGGAAACGGCCUCGCGCGAUGAGAGCGGCCGAUGUCCGAUUAGCUAGUUGGUGGGGUAAAGGCCCACCAAGGCGACGAUCGGUAGCUGGUCUGAGAGGACGACCAGCCACACUGGGACUGAGACACGGCCCAGACUCCUACGGGAGGCAGCAGUGGGGAAUUUUGGACAAUGGGGGCAACCCUGAUCCAGCCAUUCCGCGUGAGUGAAGAAGGCCUGG
Molecule: ribosomal RNA, 390 nt
Filed under: uncultured bacterium
Lineage: Bacteria
Description: bacterial SSU rRNA
Rfam family: Bacterial small subunit ribosomal RNA
Source: RNAcentral